Molecule: ribosomal RNA, 320 nt
Filed under: uncultured eukaryote
Lineage: Eukaryota
Description: partial 18S ribosomal RNA
Rfam family: Eukaryotic small subunit ribosomal RNA
Source: RNAcentral
CCCCUAGAUGUUCUGGGCCGCACGCGCGCUACACUGAACAGUUCAACAAGUCUUAACCUUGGCCGAUAGGUCUGGGUAAUCUUUGAACGCUGUUCGUGAUUGGGAUAGACCUUUGCAAUUAUGGGUCUUCAACGAGGAAUUCCUAGUAAACGCAAGUCAUCAGCUUGCAUUGAUUACGUCCCUGCCCUUUGUACACCCCGCCCGUCGCACCUACCGAUUGAAUGGUCCGGUGAAAUCUCGGGACGGCGGCUUGGUCGCUUGCGUCCGACUGCUGAAACUUGAUUAAACCAUAUCAUUUAGAGGAAGGUGAANUCGUANCA